RNAcentral lists this long non-coding RNA (1119 nucleotides) under Felis catus (domestic cat). RNAcentral describes it as "lncRNA (ENSFCAG00000048667.1)". Lineage: Eukaryota; Metazoa; Chordata; Mammalia; Carnivora; Felidae. The record is from RNAcentral.
CCAUGGUGAAUACCUUAAGAGUUAUUUGUGAUUAGAUUAACUGCUCUUUUGAUUGUUAUGAAGAUGUAUCAGUAGCCACAUACAGAAGUAACCAAAUGUUGGUUGCUUAGCAGCUGACAUUGUUACUUUUAAAAAUCUAAUAUGAUCCUUUUGGUCUACUUUUUCACUCUGGAGGAAGAUGCCAUUAGUGAAAUUAAGAAGGAGCUAAGCUUAUCAUAGCAAUUUCCCAGUUCUCUCAAACCUUCUCUUCCACAGGGUAUCACAUACAUACACAACACAGUCAAAUAUUGCCUUCAUGUUGUAUUCUGGAUACAUGUAAUAUGGAUCCUUGAUGGAUCCAUGCAUAGUCCAGCCCUCUCCCAUUGAUAUCCUAGUUCAGAACAUCACUGGUUCCUCCACACCAACUCAUUCUGCCUUUUAGACCUGUGUCCUUUCACUGUUUUCUUCUCCUAGAUGGGUGUCAGUUGAAAAGGACUGGUGGAUUUCAUGGAAAGUGCUGGUUAUCCUGAUCUUUUGUUUUGGGGUAUGAGGAAAAGUUACUGAAAACACAUUUCCCAUCAUGCAUGGCUCCAUCCUUCACCCUUUUUUCAACAGGAGGAGUGAUUUAUCUGCCUUGUCCAGAAUAAGCGCAUUAACUCCGGAUUGUCUUCUUUAAUAAUAGAAGUAUGAAAAGAAAACGGGCACAGGACUAUCCAAUCAACUUAGUCUACUCUUCACUUCCUCAGAAAACUGGAUAGCAAGUUGGAGAAUCACUCCAGAUUUUUUCAUAUACCCUAGGAAAAAAAACCUCCUCUGCUCUUUCCUUACACAGUUGGACUCUGGAGUUCCCCAAUGUGCAUCCAAGUACUAAACCUAGAAACUUGCUAAAGAAUAUGCGGUGGCACCUGUCUCCAGUCCUCCUGCAUUGCUUUCUGGCUUUUGUGCUAUCUCUCCAUAGUAUAUUACAACCAGAAAGAGCGUUGGAGUUAUUGUGCAGAUGAAGAAGCAGACAACUGAAAAGAUGAGGCGGCUUGCUCGAGGUUAUUCAGCGAGGUAGUAACAAGGCUGAAAUUACAUUCUAUUCUAGUCUACCUUUCACUUUCCCAUCCAAACUAAUAAAAGAAAAUAAAGGAAUGUACA